UGAGGGAGCCAGACUCUCUGCAGUACUACCCCCUGACAGGAUAAGAGGCAAUGGACACUAAUUAAACACAUGAAAUUCCACAAGAGAAUUACUGGGAGGGUUGUCAAACACAGGAGUAAGUUGCCAGAAGAGUCACGGAAUGUCUGCCUGUGGAGAUACCUGAAGCCCAAGUGCACAUGGUUCAGGACAGACUGCUCUGCCUGACCUGGCUUGAGCCAUUUGGGUAAAAUGAACUUGAGAGGUCCUUUCCAACGUCAAUAAUGAUGUGAUUCUCUAGAAUGUUGUUUGGUGGUCUGUGCCAAAUAGCAAUGCCAGGUUCCAUGCUGAAGGGGCAGUGAGUGUCUGUAGGAAGCAGCACGAUGGUGAAAGUGCAUUGUUUAAUGGCACAAAUGGGCUCAGGAAUUCAGGGUGUUGCUGGCACUCCUGGACUGCUCAAAGGAGUCAAACAUUUAUGGACAUGGCAAGUAGCUAUGUGGUGGAGCAUAAGGAACCAUCAAGUGAUCUGUCUCCUUGGAAUGGCUAACCUCUGUUGUGCUGCAGAAGAACGUACUCCAUGGAGCUACUCAGUGGAAGAACUUGCUUUUCUUUUGAUUGCCUCGAAAUGAAUUUUUAAUGUAAGGGAGAAGGAAAUGUGCUCAGUAUCAUGGAGCAGCUGCAGAAUGAGCCUGUGUUCGAAGAAGGGCAACAAACCUGGCUGGCAGCUGCUGACACCGAUGUGCUGUCGCAUGGGGAACACUUGGGCUGUACAGUGUUUGCUUCCAGUGCGUGCCCCUGUUGUCUCCUUGGAGUUGCUGCUUCAUCCUGAGCAAAACAUUACUGAGACACCAUUGAUGCUGCUCUGCAGGAUGUUCUCAGGACUCUGGCACACCAGGUGAGGCACCAGCCAGCUUUUCUGACAGCAAGGAGAAGUGUCUUGGAUGUUUCACUGCAGAAAGUACAGUGGGUUUUCUUUUUAAAUUUUUUUUCUCUGCCAGAUGCCCAAGGUGCAAAGCUGGGUCAAAGUUUGAUAAAUAGUAAUUUAAAACUCCCAAAACCAAAAAACCCCAACAAAACCAAAAAAACCCAAUGAAAAAGCAAAUAUUUGUUCCCUUUCCUCUUUUUGCCAAUGGCUAUUUCCUUGAUUGUAUUGAAUAUUGCUAGGCAUGUUGUUAGUGAAAAAAAUGUUGUCUUCAAAUAAUUUAAUCCUAGCCCAGAUGCCACUGCUCUGUUUAGAUUUGUCUAUUAAUAUUUCUGUGCAAUUCUUUAAUUAAAAUUCUGGGAUGUUUCCUCUUUCCUCUCUGAAAACAAUAUUUAGUAAGGACUGUAGAUUGUUUAGGUCUGUGGAACUGGUCGUUGUAAGCCAAGACACAGAGGGCUGAUUGGUGACCUUGUCUUGCUUUUGGCUGGAGCCUCUUCAGCUUGGUGUGACCAGGCCCAGCAGUUGCUUUCCUGUUUUGACAUUGGUGGUCACUUUGCUGCUUCACACAUGUAGACAAUAUUAUGUCCUUGACUUUUCCCACUCCUUGACAUAUAAAAACUCUCCUGAAAA
This is a long non-coding RNA of Hirundo rustica (Barn swallow), 1528 nucleotides long. RefSeq lists it as uncharacterized. The transcript is spliced from 5 exons. The record is from RefSeq and is a predicted model, not a curated record. Lineage: Eukaryota; Metazoa; Chordata; Aves; Passeriformes; Hirundinidae.